GACUUUGAAGAGCUAGCUUUCUUUCCUUUCCUCCUGACACUUCUUUCCGGCUUUGGUUCUUUACUGUCGAUUUUUUCAGUUGUCCAUAUCAUCGCGCUCAUCAUUACCAGAUAAAUUAUUUCCUUUGGACAGAACAGGAGAGUCGGUACCAUCUUGCUUCUCAAGGGACUUUGAAACAUCUAAAGUAUCAUCUUCACCAGCCUGUGCAAUGCCAUUGCUCAUGACAGACUUGGGAGAUCUGUCUCCAGCAGCAUUAUCUUGUUGUGGUGGUGUGGCUUCUUUUGUAAUCUCACUAUCCACCUAA
This 304-nucleotide long non-coding RNA is filed under the name Medicago truncatula (barrel medic). RNAcentral's name for it is "lncRNA gene401". Lineage: Eukaryota; Viridiplantae; Streptophyta; Magnoliopsida; Fabales; Fabaceae. The record is from RNAcentral.